Molecule: ribosomal RNA, 551 nt
Filed under: uncultured Glomeromycotina
Lineage: Eukaryota; Fungi; Glomeromycota
Description: SSU rRNA
Rfam family: Eukaryotic small subunit ribosomal RNA
Source: RNAcentral
UUGGAGGGCAAGUCUGGUGCCAGCAGCCGCGGUAAUUCCAGCUCCAAUAGCGUAUAUUAAAGUUGUUGCAGUUAAAAAGCUCGUAGUUGAACUUCGGGGUUUACUUAUUGGUCAGGCUUAAUUGUCUGUACUGGUGAGAUGAAUCUCUACCUUCUGAGGAACUUUCAUGUCAUUUAUUUGGUGUGAUGGGAAAUCAGGACUGUUACUUUGAAAAAAUUAGAGUGUUUAAAGCAGGCUAACGUCUGAAUACAUUAGCAUGGAAUAAUGAAAUAGGACGGACUGAUUCUAUUUCGUUGGUUUCUAGGAUCACCGUAAUGAUUAAUAGGGAUAGUUGGGGGCAUUAGUAUUCAAUUGUCAGAGGUGAAAUUCUUGGAUUUAUUGAAGACUAACUACUGCGAAAGCAUUUGCCAAGGAUGUUUUCAUUAAUCAAGAACGAAAGUUAGGGGAUCGAAGACGAUCAGAUACCGUCGUAGUCUUAACCAUAAACUAUGCCGACUAGGGAUCGGACGAAGUUAAUUUUAUAAUGACGCGUUCGGCGCCUUACGGGAAAC